This 699-nucleotide ribosomal RNA is filed under the name uncultured Lachnospiraceae bacterium. RNAcentral describes it as "bacterial SSU rRNA". It matches the Rfam family "Bacterial small subunit ribosomal RNA", at positions 42 to 739 of the family's 1533-position model. Lineage: Bacteria; Bacillati; Bacillota; Clostridia; Lachnospirales; Lachnospiraceae. The record is from RNAcentral.
GCGUGCUUAACACAUGCAAGUCGAACGAAGCACUUUAUUUGAUUUCCUUCGGGACUGAUUAUUUUGUGACUGAGUGGCGGACGGGUGAGUAACGCGUGGGUAACCUGCCUUAUACAGGGGGAUAACAGUUGGAAACGGCUGCUAAUACCGCAUAAGCGCACGGCAUCGCAUGAUGCAGUGUGAAAAACUCCGGUGGUAUAAGAUGGACCCGCGUUGGAUUAGCUAGUUGGUGAGGUAACGGCCCACCAAGGCGACGAUCCAUAGCCGACCUGAGAGGGUGACCGGCCACAUUGGGACUGAGACACGGCCCAAACUCCUACGGGAGGCAGCAGUGGGGAAUAUUGCACAAUGGGCGAAAGCCUGAUGCAGCGACGCCGCGUGAGCGAAGAAGUAUUUCGGUAUGUAAAGCUCUAUCAGCAGGGAAGAUAAUGACGGUACCUGACUAAGAAGCACCGGCUAAAUACGUGCCAGCAGCCGCGGUAAUACGUAUGGUGCAAGCGUUAUCCGGAUUUACUGGGUGUAAAGGGAGCGCAGGCGGUGCGGCAAGUCUGAUGUGAAAGCCCGGGGCUCAACCCCGGUACUGCAUUGGAAACUGUCGUACUAGAGUGUCGGAGGGGUAAGCGGAAUUCCUAGUGUAGCGGUGAAAUGCCUCGAUAUUAGGAGGAACACCAGUGGCGAAGGCGGCUUACUGGACGAUAA